CAUUCCCCUGUGAAUCUUCCACACACAGUCUCAGGCAUCCCCUGAAACCAGAGUGCCAAGGAAUUUCUGUCUGGCUUGCUGGAUUUUGCACCAUCUCUGAGUCUGGUCACCCCAGGCUCAACCAGAAAGCUGAAAGGCCUGGUGUUGCAGACAUGAGGACAAUGGGCCCGCUGGACUGAAAGCAUUCCAGUCUCCCACGUUCGGUAGGAAGGGGUUGGGGGGGGAAGAAAGGUCAUUAAUGCAGACGGUUUAUGUUUUCCCAAGCCAGCAUUCCUUACAAACAGCUGUGUUUAUACAAAACUAGAGGAGAGGGAGAGAAAGACAAGAGAAAGGAGAGUGUCCUAGGGAUGACAUCAUUCUGUCUGCUCCAACUCCCACCACUGGGGGGCGGGGGCUGCAGCCGCUGGUGAACGUGCCUGGGGUUAGUAGAUGCAGAGUUUACACACUGCAAGCUCCUACUGGGAAGCUGUCUCUGCACCGUGGAAUCCUCACUAUGCAAUCCUCUCCACUGGCUCCCACCACUGUAUCAUCGCCUCUCCACCCUCUCCAAUGUGUACCCACCACGUCACCAUUACCGCUGUCUCCUCAACACAGCAUCCUCACGAUGGCAUCUUUGUCUCUCGGAACAAUGCAUAAUGUAUAAUAAAUGCUCAAUGAAUGCUGUUGAGCAUUGAUUCAUGAAGCAGCUGAACCAAAAAUGUGAGACAUUAAAUCUUACAACAGAAUUAACAACCCUCAAGUUUUGACUGGUUUCUCAAUUGAAGACUGAGAAAAUGAAAAUGGACUGAAAAACAUCCAAGUUACAAGGGCCAUGAAGUCCUGGAACAUGUUGAAACAGUAGAAAAAGCACUGGACUAAAAGCAGGAAGUCUGAGUUCAAACACCAGCUGUUUUGUUUGUUUUGUUUUGUUUAUCAAUUCACGACCUUGGGUAAGCAUCUUAUUCCCUCUGGGCCUCGAUUUCCUAUAAAAUAAGGAAAUUAUACCUGAUUAG
RNAcentral lists this long non-coding RNA (992 nucleotides) under Fukomys damarensis (Damara mole-rat). RNAcentral describes it as "lncRNA (ENSFDAG00000028640.1)". Lineage: Eukaryota; Metazoa; Chordata; Mammalia; Rodentia; Bathyergidae. The record is from RNAcentral.